GUGAGUCAUCGAAUCUUUGAACGCACCUUGCGCUCCUUGGUAUUCCGAGGAGCAUGCCUGUUGAGUGUCAUUAAUAUAUAUAUCAACCCUCUUUGUUGAGUGGUUUGGAUGUGAGGGUUUGCUGGACUCUUAAAAGGGUUCAGCUCCCUUGAAAUGCAUUAGCAGAACAACCUGUUCAUUGGUGUGAUAACUAUCUACACUAUUGAAUGCAAUGGCCAGUUCAGCUUUCUAACCGUCCUUGGACAAUUUAUCAUUAAUGUGACCUCAAAUCAGGUAGGACUACCCGCUGAACUUAAGCAUAUCAAUAAGCGGAGG
RNAcentral lists this ribosomal RNA (315 nucleotides) under uncultured Cortinarius. RNAcentral's name for it is "eukaryotic LSU rRNA". The stretch from base 260 to 315 matches the Rfam family "Eukaryotic large subunit ribosomal RNA", at positions 1 to 56 of the family's 3401-position model. The record is from RNAcentral. Lineage: Eukaryota; Fungi; Basidiomycota; Agaricomycetes; Agaricales; Cortinariaceae.